Molecule: transfer RNA, 75 nt
Filed under: Pyrinomonadaceae bacterium
Lineage: Bacteria; Pseudomonadati; Acidobacteriota; Blastocatellia; Blastocatellales; Pyrinomonadaceae
Description: tRNA-Arg
Rfam family: tRNA
About the family: Transfer RNA (tRNA) molecules are approximately 80 nucleotides in length.
Source: RNAcentral
GGACCUGUAGCUCAGCGGAAGAAGAGCGCAAGCCUGCGGAGCUUGAGGCCGCACGUUCAAGUCGUGCCAGGUCCA